GGCAAGCGUUGUCCGGAAUUACUGGGCGUAAAGGGCCCGCAGGCGGUGGAGUAAGUUGGGGGUGACAGUUCCCAGCUUAACCGGGAAAGGACUUCGAAAACUGCUCGACUUGAGGACUGGAGAGGAAGGCGGAAUUCCGGGUGGAGCGGUGAAAUGCGUAGAGAUCCGGAGGAACACCGACGGCGAAGGCAGCCUUCUGGAAAGUACCUGACGCUGAGGGGCGAAAGCUAGGGGAGCGAACGGG
RNAcentral lists this ribosomal RNA (244 nucleotides) under uncultured bacterium. RNAcentral describes it as "partial 16S ribosomal RNA". It matches the Rfam family "Bacterial small subunit ribosomal RNA", at positions 533 to 776 of the family's 1533-position model. The record is from RNAcentral.